GACGAACGCUGGCGGCGCGCUAACACAUGCAAGUCGAACGAGCGAGAGAGAGCUUGCUUUCUCGAGCGAGUGGCGAACGGGUGAGUAACGCGUGAGGAACCUGCCUCAAAGAGGGGGACAACAGUUGGAAACGACUGCUAAUACCGCAUAAGCCCACGGUGCCGCAUGGCACAGAGGGAAAAGGAGCAAUCCGCUUUGAGAUGGCCUCGCGUCCGAUUAGCUAGUUGGUGAGGUAACGGCCCACCAAGGCAACGAUCGGUAGCCGGACUGAGAGGUUGAACGGCCACAUUGGGACUGAGACACGGCCCAGACUCCUACGGGAGGCAGCAGUGGGGAAUAUUGCACAAUGGGGGAAACCCUGAUGCAGCGACGCCGCGUGGAGGAAGAAGGUCUUCGGAUUGUAAACUCCUGUUGUUGGGGAAGAUAAUGACGGUACCCAACAAGGAAGUGACGGCUAACUACGUGCCAGCAGCCGCGGUAAAACGUAGGUCACAAGCGUUGUCCGGAAUUACUGGGUGUAAAGGGAGCGCAGGCGGGAAGACAAGUUGGAAGUGAAAUCUAUGGGCUCAACCCAUAAACUGCUUUCAAAACUGUUUUUCUUGAGUAGUGCAGAGGUAGGCGGAAUUCCCGGUGUAGCGGUGGAAUGCGUAGAUAUCGGGAGGAACACCAGUGGCGAAGGCGGCCUACUGGGCACCAACUGACGCUGAGGCU
RNAcentral lists this ribosomal RNA (711 nucleotides) under uncultured Lachnospiraceae bacterium. RNAcentral's name for it is "bacterial SSU rRNA". It matches the Rfam family "Bacterial small subunit ribosomal RNA", at positions 28 to 753 of the family's 1533-position model. The record is from RNAcentral. Lineage: Bacteria; Bacillati; Bacillota; Clostridia; Lachnospirales; Lachnospiraceae.